Molecule: ribosomal RNA, 254 nt
Filed under: uncultured bacterium
Lineage: Bacteria
Description: partial 16S ribosomal RNA
Rfam family: Bacterial small subunit ribosomal RNA
Source: RNAcentral
UACGGAGGGGGCGAGCGUUGUCCGAAUUUAUUGGGCGUAAAGCGCGUGUAGGCGGAUUCACAAGCCUGAGGUGAAAGGUUGGGGCUCAACCCCAUACAGUGCCUUGGGGACUGUGAGUCUGGAGGCCGGCAGAGGAGAGUGGAAUUCCUGGUGUAGCGGUGGAAUGCGUAGAGAUCAGGAAGAACACCCAUGGCGAAGGCAGCUCUCUGGGCCGGUACUGACGCUGAGACGCGAAAGCGUGGGGAGCGAACGGG